AUUGAACGCUGGCGGCAUGCCUUACACAUGCAAGUCGAACGGCAGCACGGGUGCUUGCACCUGGUGGCGAGUGGCGAACGGGUGAGUAAUACAUCGGAACGUACCCUAUCGUGGGGGAUAACGCAGCGAAAGCUGUGCUAAUACCGCAUACGCCGUGAGGGGGAAAGCGGGGGAGCGAAAGACCUCGCGCGAUUAGAGCGGCCGAUGCCUAAUGAGCUUGUGGGUGGGGUAAAAGCCCACCAAGGCGACGAUCAGUAGCUGGUCUGAGAGGACGAUCAGCCACACUGGGACUGGGACACGGCCCAGCCUACUACGGGAGGCAGCAGUGGGGAAUUUUGGACAAUGGGGACAACCCUGAUCCAGCAAUGCCGCGUGAGUGAAGAAGGCCUUCGGGUUGUAAAGCUCUUUUGUCAGGGAAGAAACACCGGCUCUAACACAGUCCGGGAAUGACGGUACCUGAAGAAUAAGCACCGGCUAACUACGUGCCAGCCGCCGCAGUAA
Molecule: ribosomal RNA, 501 nt
Filed under: uncultured bacterium
Lineage: Bacteria
Description: partial 16S ribosomal RNA
Rfam family: Bacterial small subunit ribosomal RNA
Source: RNAcentral